GACGAACGCUGGCGGCGUGCUUAACACAUGCAAGUCGAACGGAAAGGUCUCUUCGGAGACACUCGAGUGGCGAACGGGUGAGUAACACGUGGGUGAUCUGCCCUGCACUUCGGGAUAAGCCUGGGAAACUGGGUCUAAUACCGAAUAUGACCACGAGAUGCAUGUCUCGUGGUGGAAAGCUUUUGCGGUGUGGGAUGGGCCCGCGGCCUAUCAGCUUGUUGGUGGGGUCACGGCCUACCAAGGCUCCGACGGGUAGCCGGCCUGAGAGGGUGUCCGGCCACACUGGGACUGAGAUACGGCCCAGACUCCUACGGGAGGCAGCAGUGGGGAAUAUUGCACAAUGGGCGCAAGCCUGAUGCAGCGACGCCGCGUGGGGGAUGACGGCCUUCGGGUUGUAAACCUCUUUCACCAUCGACGAAGGUCCGGGGUUCUCGGAUUGACGGUAGGUGGAGAAGAAGCACCGGCCAACUACGUGCCAGCAGCCGCGGUAAGAC
This 494-nucleotide ribosomal RNA is filed under the name uncultured bacterium. Its description in RNAcentral is "bacterial SSU rRNA". It matches the Rfam family "Bacterial small subunit ribosomal RNA", at positions 28 to 526 of the family's 1533-position model. The record is from RNAcentral.